AUGAAGGGGGAUAAACUUCGGACAUGUAUAGAGAAAAUAUGUAGAUUCAAUGAUAAGGAGAGUAAAUCAAAUAUGAGGCAAAUAAUUAGACUAUCUACAAUGGUAAAAUUAUUCAACACUCAUUUUUCCCAUUUUUUACCCUUCACAUCAUCUUCUCUCUUCCACCUAAUAAUUCAACACCUAUUCACUUUUACUCACUACAAUGGUUUUGUUUAA
Vicia faba (fava bean) is the source of this 216-nucleotide non-coding RNA. The record is from the annotation of a GenBank genome assembly. NCBI's taxonomy places the organism in Eukaryota, Viridiplantae, Streptophyta, Magnoliopsida, Fabales, Fabaceae.